This 847-nucleotide ribosomal RNA is filed under the name uncultured archaeon. RNAcentral's name for it is "bacterial SSU rRNA". It matches the Rfam family "Archaeal small subunit ribosomal RNA", at positions 29 to 882 of the family's 1478-position model. The record is from RNAcentral.
GCUAUCGGAUUGAUACUAAGCCAUGCGAGUCAUUGUAGCAAUACAAGGCAUACGGCUCAGUAACGCGUAGUCAACCUAACCUAUGGACGGGAAUAACCUCGGGAAACUGAGAAUAAUGCCCGAUAGAACAUUAUGCCUGGAAUGGUUUAUGUUCCAAAUGAUUUAUCGCCGUAGGAUGGGACUGCGGCCUAUCAGUUUGUUGGUGAGGUAAUGGCCCACCAAGACUAUUACAGGUACGGGCUCUGAGAGGAGUAGCCCGGAGAUGGGUACUGAGACACGGACCCAGGCCCUAUGGGGCGCAGCAGGCGAGAAAACUUUGCAAUGUGCGAAAGCACGACAAGGUUAAUCCGAGUGGUUUCUGCUAAAGGAACCUUUUGUCAGUCCUAGAAACACUGAUGAAUAAGGGGUGGGCAAGUUCUGGUGUCAGCCGCCGCGGUAAAACCAGCACCUCAAGUGGUCAGGAUGAUUAUUGGGCCUAAAGCAUCCGUAGCCGGCUCUGUAAGUUUUCGGUUAAAUCUGUACGCUCAACGUACAGGCUGCCGGGAAUACUGCAAAGCUAGGGAGUGGGAGAGGUAGACGGUACUCGGUAGGAAGGGGUAAAAUCCUUUGAUCUAUUGAUGACCACCUGUGGCGAAGGCGGUCUACCAGAACACGUCCGACGGUGAGGGAUGAAAGCUGGGGGAGCAAACCGGAUUAGAUACCCGGGUAGUCCCAGCUGUAAACCAUGCAAACUCAGUGAUGCAUUGGCUUGUGGCCAAUGCAGCGCUGCAGGGAAGCCGUUAAGUUUGCCGCCUGGGAAGUACGUACGCAAGUAUGAAACUUAAAGGAAUUGGCGGGGGAGCACCAC